GAGAGAUGGCGCGAGUGUCGCGAUUAUCAUCACUGGGCGACCCUAGCGCUGCGCCUAUACAUUCGGCCCGACUCGGCGCCGCUCGGUGCCCGUCCGUAGGUCACGUAGAUCGCGACGCGACGGCUCACGAAGGUAGACGAAGCCGCGGCUGUGUGCCGCCAGCGUCGCCACUGUCGCUAACCGCCGCCGCCGCCGCCCGUGAACAUCGUCGAUAUGAUCCCUCGCGCCGUCGAAAUUAAUCUCUACCUUUCUCGGUAAUAAUAGGAACGAUUGUUGCGCAUAAAAGAGUUCCACGUAAGCAUACAGACCGAUCGGUCACGAUUGACAUUAUUUUAUUUUGCGAUUAGUCUGAGUACGGCAACACUUUUCACAUAUCCGUGGCGUCGAGGAUCAAAAUUUACGUAUUAAUUUCAAAUAAAGUUACAUAAUUCGGCAAUGAGCCCACGAGCUCAGUCAUUUUAUUACGAUAAAUCGGUGUGUUUGAUUGAGAUCAGUCGAGCGUUAGUUUUUCGAUUUCACUUCGAAACAUCGGGAAUCUGCUUGACUACGAUGCCUUCCGCCAUUUUUUAUGUCCGUUAAAGUGUCGUUCGGGCAAGUGCGCGAGGGAAGUGUCAGUACGCUAAAAUCGCACAUUAAUUAUACUUCCAUUUAGUGAGGGAGGGAGCCGCAAUAAUAAUGCUCGUAUCAUUUAUAUUUGCCGUGCCCGAGUGUGUUGGCGUACUCGAACGCACGUCCCGCGAAUGAUCAGUUAAUUACCGUCGAAUGCACCGGGGCGAUCGUCGUUUCGCUAUCCUUAAUUAAGGGGGAUAUGUGCAUGCGUGCGUAAUAAUUCAUCAAUAGACUUAUCGUAUGGACGACGGACGGCCAAUAAUAUUAGAGAGGGGCUGAAUAGCGAAAGUAUAUAUUUCGCAUUUGCGUUAAUUUGCAAAGAGUUCCACGACGAUGGGAAUUUCCGGUCAUUUCCGGUCGAUAUCGAUUGGCGAUCCCGCGUUUCUAGAUUACGACAUAGAUCGCGCGAAUAGCGUCGCGCGAAACCGCCAUGUUGGCUUCUUGAAUUUUUCAGUUGCUCCACCGUGGGCGUGCAGAGGACACCGCGGUCGGCUUCGUCAUCACGGGCAUCGCGGGUUUUUUUUGCACGACGCGUCUGCGUACGCUCGUCGUUCGUUUCUUCAUCUGGACGAUUACGUAGGUAAUUUUAUAUAGAUAACGGUAAACACUGUAUGCGAUGUGCUCAAGACACGUCCGAUGUCGCUUUUCGUCUCGCUUUCGAGGCGUCCAAGUAGUUAAUGUCGAUCGGUAGUAUCGAGAUGGAUUCGCGCGAUCAUGAUUUCUCUAUCCUCAAUUAAGGAUACGCGUGAGAGCGUAAUGAGCAAUCGACAGGCGCUGUAGUGAGAAGGGAUUAAUCGGUGGAAGGAAGGGGACGGAGGAUAAACGACCAUGAAAGUCGCCCCGCAGUGGGUUUGCACGGCGGAAGUCGACAUGGUGCGAUUUGCGCAAGAUGGAGCACGUACUGUGUACAUACGUACAAGCAGGUAUACGUCACGACUUGGAUUAGCGUCGUGAAACUGCCAUCUUGGUUUUUUGAGUUUGCUCGGUUGCGGGGGUAAAUACGCGUGUGUAACGUCGCGUUUUCAUCAUUUCAUCAUGUUCGUCGUGUGCGUAUGCGGGCGACACGUCUGGAGCACAAAGUGCGUGUCGCGAGUCUCGCGGGGUGCAUGUUUCGCAAUCCGUGCAGUUUUCCACUCGUGUGUGGAAUGUGUUGUGGCGGUAUAACGAAGCGGCGCGUACGACGAUUAUGGUGGGAACGCACACACGUCGGCCGCGAACGGUGAAUAAAUUCAUUUAGUGGUCACAUUGGUUAAUUAUUCGCGCCUAUUUGCGAUGAUCAGAUGCACCGCCGGCUGGUUGAUCGUCAGAAAUGUCAUAAAAGCUACGCUCUUUGGAAAAAUAUCAGGUACCUUUCCUUCGACUGCUCGCGCGUGUGUGCGUAUAUGUGUAUGUGUGCACUUAAGGAGGUAUUUUAGAACGCGAAAAGAAUGAGUCUAUUUUUAGAAAUUUUUUAAAAGAAAUUGUUGCUUAUAUAUUUUCAACUUGCUUUUAUAUAUCUGCUUUUGCAUGGUUAAUAAAUGUUUGUAAAUUUUUGUAUUCGUAUGCUUAUUGGUUAAUUUUUAUAUUACUUAAAUUUAUUUUCCACAGGAAUUUGAAGACUGGAUUUUUGCGUGCCGCUGCCAAAAAAAUGGCUAACGAAACAUGGUAUCCUUCAGAGGAUAAUCCUUGCUGUCAACUUUUUUAGAGAGGGAAAUCAAGUCUUUCUGUUUCAACUUGCUUUUAUAUAUCUGCUUUUGCAUGGUUAAUAAAUGAAUUUGAAGACUGGAUUUUUGCGUGCCGCUGCCAAAAAAAAUGGCUAACGAAACAUGGUAUCUUUCAGAGGAUAAUUCUUGCUGUCAACAACUUUUUUAGAGAGGGAAACCAAGUCUUUCUGUUUACCGUCUGAAAGGCAAAAAGACAGCUGGAUCUUUAAAUCUCCAUGGAACUGCCUCUCGGUGGCAUAGCAGUCACAGUAUUUGGUGAGUGAAAAUAUAAAUUAUUGUACAAGAUUAAUUGCAUGUAUUAGAUUAUACAGUGAUUUUUAUUUUAUAUUGUUGCCAAAAGAAAAUGAAUGCGAAAGAAAUUGAUAUAUAUUACUAAUUGCAUAUAUCACGUACAUAUAAUAAUUGAUAUUAAUUUAAAUUAUUGCGUUCUUUUCAAUUACAUACAUAGAUUAUUAACAAUUUACAAUGUUGUAAUAAUAAUUUGUGAUCUUGCGCGGAAAUUUUGUAUGUUAUUUACUGUAGCAUAUAAUCAUGCAAUUAAUUGUAUUUUCUUUUUUGGGAGCUUGUUCGAAAUGCUGGUUUAAAAAUAUUUGUGAAUAAUGCGAACUUUAAACUGAAGUCUAAAUUGAAAUUGCAUACAGAAAAAUAGUAAUUAAUUCAAUGAAAUGUGUAGUUGCGGACUGUCAACUACAGAUGUAUUCAAUAUAAUAAUAUGUACUAUUGCAAUGUCAAUAUUGUACUUACAUUAACAGCAAAUAUUAUUGUAUUGAGUACAUCUUGCCUGCAACUACACAUUUUGUUGAAUCAAUUACUUUUUUCUUCGUGCAUAAAUUUAAUUCUAUUCUUUUCUUGUUGAUUCUUUAUUCAACAAAAGUUUUAUUAAUAUUGCUCGAGCAACGUAAAAUAUUUACAGUUUAUUUUUAUUGUCCGUUAUUGUUAUUUAAUUUUUUGGAACUUAUCAGUUUCCGAUGUAAUGUAAGCACUUGUUAAAGAUUGCGUUUCGUUCGAAAACAUUUCCCGAGAUUCAUCUGAUUAUAUAAACUUGCGUUUUAUUGGUUCUGCGAUGUUUUUCGGAAUCUCUUUCUUUCUCCAACUGAAGCUUGGCGCACAAGCGAAUCAUAUAUCGCGACACACAUAUCAGAUCGCCACCGUCGAUUCUUUCGUUCCUAUUUCAGGGAAAUACAUUGCCCCUCGUUUUCUAGGCGCGUUGUAAAGUCGUGACGUUAUCUGCAACAAGCUGAACUGACUUUGUCUGUGAUAUCAUCUCGAAUUUCGUUCCGGCGGGACGACGCUCGUACAAAUUUCUCUUAUCUAUGCUAUAAAAACCGAUAAGAGUAUCGCGCAAUUUUUUCUGACUUUCUAUCUGCGGUAAUAUAUAAAUUCAUUUUAGAGUAUGGACGAUGAUUUCAUAAUAUUGCGGUUUCAGUAAUUUUAAGCGUGUUGAUAUAUACACAGAAUUUUUAUAUUUAUACAAGACAUUUCACACUUUUUAAAACUUUAGUGAUGAAUUCUCUUUAGUCACAUAUGUAGAUUUUAGUACAAGUUUUAAAAAAAGCUUAAUUUACUUUUAUUAAUUUAAUAUGACACGGUAGUGUCUCUAACUUUUUUAUGAACAUAGAGAGAGAGAGAGAGAGAGAGAGAGAGAGAGAGAGAGAGAGA
This is a long non-coding RNA of Monomorium pharaonis (pharaoh ant), 3971 nucleotides long. RefSeq lists it as uncharacterized. The transcript has 3 exons. The record is from RefSeq and is a predicted model, not a curated record. Lineage: Eukaryota; Metazoa; Arthropoda; Insecta; Hymenoptera; Formicidae.